CGUGCGCACGCGCCGAAUCCCGCAAGGGAACCGGGGAACCACCUUUUGGGGUGAAUCGGGCUCCUCCCUGUUUGAAGAGGGCCCGUAGGAGACCUUCCUGCUCCGAACCCGUCAGCUAACCCGGUAGGCGAGAGGAAGGAAAGG
RNAcentral lists this small RNA (144 nucleotides) under Streptomyces tsukubensis. RNAcentral's name for it is "c-di-AMP sequence". It matches the Rfam family "c-di-AMP riboswitch aptamer (ydaO/yuaA leader)". Rfam says of the family: This family represents a conserved RNA structure found upstream of the ydaO and yuaA genes in Bacillus subtilis and related genes in other bacteria. The ydaO/yuaA element is thought to act as a genetic "off" switch for the ydaO and yuaA genes in its native state. It is believed that the element may be triggered during osmotic shock leading to activation of ydaO, a predicted amino acid transporter gene, and members of the yuaA-yubG operon which code for KtrA and KtrB K+ transporters. Lineage: Bacteria; Bacillati; Actinomycetota; Actinomycetes; Kitasatosporales; Streptomycetaceae. The record is from RNAcentral.